Molecule: non-coding RNA, 660 nt
Organism: Camellia sinensis
Lineage: Eukaryota; Viridiplantae; Streptophyta; Magnoliopsida; Ericales; Theaceae
Source: RefSeq, a predicted model, not a curated record
CCAAUACGAUCCAAUGGGUGAUACGAUCCAAUGGUGGCUCCCGAUCUCCAUCAACGUCAACAAUAAUACAUUAAAAAAAAAUUAAAAAAUUAAAAACAACAGAUAAUAAAUACGUGGAUAUAUUUUUUUUUUAUGUUGUGAUUUUGUUGGGCCCAACCCUCAUUGAAAUGGGGGGGGGAAAGGGUUUGUAAAUCGCGGUGUUUCUUUAACAGAGAGCAUACAAUAAAAUUCAUAUGGAAGUUUAGAUUUUAUUCUCCAUCCUAGCCUAUUGUAAUUUCUCCAGUUUUGUUUUGAGAAAUAGUUUAUAAACCAGUUUAUUGACUUUUUAAUUUAUUUAAAUCACAUUACUUCUCUACUUUUUACAUGUAUUUCCGUAAUAAACAAAAAAACUAGCAUAUUUUACACUUUCCAAAACAACAUUUGUAACUUCUGUUGCUCUCUGACUAUUGAAGGAAGAGGACGCUUGCAGCAAUCUGUAAACGCACAGCAUAUGUGCACACUGCCUCUGAAUCCAACAAUAGCAGUUGUUGACAACAAAAACUAAAAGCAUCCUCUUCAAACUUUCAGAUAAUCAAUUUUUUUCAACUUAAUUAAACUAUUUUUGCUUCAUAAAUCAUAAGCAAAAGCUGCACCAAGCAUCCUAACAUGGAUUUACACAAA